UGGGGAAUAUUGGACAAUGGGCGAAAGCCUGAUCCAGCCAUGCCGCGUGUGUGAAGAAGGUCUUCGGAUUGUAAAGCACUUUAAGUUGGGAGGAAGGGCAGUAAGCGAAUACCUUGCUGUUUUGACGUUACCGACAGAAUAAGCACCGGCUAACUCUGUGCCAGCAGCCGCGGUAAUACAGAGGGUGCAAGCGUUAAUCGGAAUUACUGGGCGUAAAGCGCGCGUAGGCGGCUAAUUGAGUCGGAUGUGAAAUCCCCGAGCUUAACUUGGGAAUUGCAUUCGAUACUGGUUAGCUAGAGUGUGGGAGAGGAUGGUAGAAUUCCAGGUGUAGCGGUGAAAUGCGUAGAGAUCUGGAGGUAUACCGAUGGCGAAGGCAGCCAUCUGGCCUAACACUGACGCUGAGGUACGAAAGCAUGGGGAGCAAACAGG
This 429-nucleotide ribosomal RNA is filed under the name Pseudomonadota bacterium. Its description in RNAcentral is "Proteobacteria bacterium partial 16S ribosomal RNA". It matches the Rfam family "Bacterial small subunit ribosomal RNA", at positions 355 to 776 of the family's 1533-position model. Lineage: Bacteria; Pseudomonadati; Pseudomonadota. The record is from RNAcentral.